RNAcentral lists this long non-coding RNA (636 nucleotides) under Anser brachyrhynchus (Pink-footed goose). RNAcentral's name for it is "lncRNA (ENSABRG00000009280.1)". Lineage: Eukaryota; Metazoa; Chordata; Aves; Anseriformes; Anatidae. The record is from RNAcentral.
CAACAAAGAGUGUUUGGAGCUGUCAGAGUCUGCACAGUCAUGCUCCACAGUCCCUCUGCUCCUGCUUGUAUGCGGGAGUGCCAUUUUUGUUGUAUUCAGACUCCUACCACUUCCCUUGUUGAAGCAUAAUUCUGCAAUACUUACUGAACGCUGCUGAUCUCACAGUUACAGCAGACCAGCAAGAUACUGUAGAAGACUGCCACUUUCAUAUGGAAACAAACACAAGCAAGGAGAGUAAAUGCUUGUCAUGCUAUAGCAAAAAAGUGUUUCUCAGCCUACCUUCCAGAAAGACAUUAGGAACAGAGCAAUUUCUAUCUCCAAGCUAAAUAUGAAGAUGCCUCAUGUCCCCAUCUGCCACCUUGAGUCGGUGCUCACAACGAAGCCAACAGAGUUGAACAGAUAUCAAAACAUGGAAAGAAAGAGCUGGACCCUGGCUGAAAGCCUGAGGUGUAGUCAUCUUCACUAUGCUCCAGCAUUCUGAAUAAGGAUGAAAAGAUAAAGCAAGCCAUGGUGAUAUCCUCUAUCAGAAUAUAAACUUGCAACACACAACUUGUUUUGGACCAGUGGAGACCUCUGUCUCCAGCUGCAGCUCUAACAGAAAUAACAAUGAAUAUAAUAAAUGACAAGUACAAGACA